Molecule: ribosomal RNA, 253 nt
Filed under: uncultured bacterium
Lineage: Bacteria
Description: partial 16S ribosomal RNA
Rfam family: Bacterial small subunit ribosomal RNA
Source: RNAcentral
UACGAAGGACCCGAGCGUUAUCCGGAUUCACUGGGUUUAAAGGGUGCGUAGGCGGAUAUGUAAGUCCGUGGUGAAAUCUCUGGGCUUAACCCGGAAACUGCCAUGGAUACUAUGUGUCUUGAAUGUUGUUGAGGUGAGCGGAAUAUGUCAUGUAGCGGUGAAAUGCUUAGAUAUGACAUAGAACACCAAUUGCGAAGGCAGCUCACUAAGCAAAUAUUGACGCUGAGGCACGAAAGCGUGGGGAUCAAACAGG